Strigops habroptila (Kakapo) is the source of this 992-nucleotide long non-coding RNA. RefSeq lists it as uncharacterized. The record is from RefSeq and is a predicted model, not a curated record. The transcript has 3 exons. NCBI's taxonomy places the organism in Eukaryota, Metazoa, Chordata, Aves, Psittaciformes, Psittacidae.
GACAUCUGCAGAUUUUGGUCUGGCUUGGGUAACCACGAAAUCUGCUGAUUCUGGUUACAACAGGCUUGCACAAAGGGCUGUUGCUAGACCCACACUUUGGUUGAAAGCCAAGAACCCUCAGACCUUAUUUCUGACCACAGAUCAGAUUUGACUGGGGUAUAAAUGGAGUCCUGCCAGAGGGCAAGAGUUGAGUUGGUCCUCUUCAGAGCAGCGCAGCUGCUGUAGAGGGCUCUCCCUUCUGGUCAGGACACUGCCUGAGGUAACUCCUCAAGGUUGAGAGCCCUCAUUUUGACUGGUGAGUGAAAUGUUUUUUGGGUUAAUUCCCUUUAAAACCUAAGCUUAAAUCAGUUGUAUUUGAUUCUGCUUGGCAUCUAGAACCUGUAGUUUACUAAUGUUGUUGGAGUAUUAAAUUAUAUUUUUAUUAGAAUAAAUUUCCUUUGGGGCUUGUAACCUACCUUAGUCAAUUUUGUGGGCCUCUGUGACUAAUAGCAUGCUAAAUUUUGAAAUCUUGACUAUGUGACAUAAAGGAUUGAUUGUGCGCAUAUAUAUAUAUAUUCCUUUAUAUACCGACAGUUGACCAAGUCUGGGACUAGGAGUGGAUCCAGCUGCCCCUAACCACUUCUUUGAGAAGGUGCUUAGAAAGCAAGGAGUUCUCCCUGAACUUCAUGACUUAAUAGGAGGAUCUCCCUCACAGUUGGGUGAAGUUCUGGACUCCUCCAUGGCAAAGUUCAACGUUAAGUGGAAGAUGGCACAUUGGAUGUGCAGCCCCGGGGACAAACUCCUCAGCAGGAGAGGCCUUGGAAGACUGGUGAGGAAUCAAGGACAUGGCUCGGUGCGCAUGACCUAGUCUCAGUUGACAAAGCGAACUUCCUGCCCCAGAUGAUAAUCAUCAGUUCACAAUGACCCCAGUUUCUAAUUACAGCAACAUUGAAUCGUUUGAUGUGCAACCAUGUGAGCAUGAUAAUAAAUAAUGCGCUGUCAAAAAGAAAAGA